AGCAAUCUGCCCGUUUUCGUGUUCACCUUGUAUCCCCAUGAUGUGUUUGGUGCAUUGAGGUCUCCCAUGAUAGACAAUAGAGUCCAAAGGGAUGAUCAAAUAUGAGCAGCCUAUUGGGAGGCAAAAGAAGAAAGAGCCUCACUUACUAUGGUCGAAGCUUGGACAGACUGUGCCCAGUUCCAGCGACGAGUUUUCACGCUAGCUAGUACAUUUUUUUCAAGCAGCCCGUCAUUAGGCGGCCAGAGGCGGCAGAUCACUGACGACUGAAGCCGUGUAUGUAGCCAUUACGCCAGUGAAACGCCGCAGCUGAUAAAAUUCAGCGUCUUUAAACACGUUCGUCUCGUAGCGGCUAUUGAAAGUCGGACGCACGAGCUGGCUGAGAUAUUAUUGUUGUCUAAUUAAAACGGACCUGCGUGAUGCUGCACAAAGAAAACGACCACCUCGUUCACAAAUAUAGCUGCCCUACAAUUUGAAUCGAUAAACCGCACGGACUGCAAUCGAUACCAGUGGGCUGCUGCUUAUCACACGUCAGUGAGG
This is a long non-coding RNA of Dermacentor albipictus, 537 nucleotides long. RefSeq lists it as uncharacterized. The record is from RefSeq and is a predicted model, not a curated record. Lineage: Eukaryota; Metazoa; Arthropoda; Arachnida; Ixodida; Ixodidae.